Molecule: ribosomal RNA, 465 nt
Filed under: uncultured bacterium
Lineage: Bacteria
Description: bacterial SSU rRNA
Rfam family: Bacterial small subunit ribosomal RNA
Source: RNAcentral
CCCAGCUCCUACGGGAGGCAGCAGUGAGGAAUAUUGGUCAAUGGGCGCGAGCCUGAACCAGCCAAGUCGCGUGAGGGAAGACGGUCCUAUGGAUUGUAAACCUCUUUUGUCGGGGAGCAAAAGACGCCACGUGUGGCGUUCCGAGAGUACCCGAAGAAAAAGCAUCGGCUAACUCCGUGCCAGCAGCCGCGGUAAUACGGAGGAUGCGAGCGUUAUCCGGAUUUAUUGGGUUUAAAGGGUGCGCAGGCGGAAGAUCAAGUCAGGGGUAAAAUUGAGAGGCUCAACCUCUUCGAGCCGUUGAAACUGGUUUUCUUGAGUGAGCGAGAAGUAUGCGGAAUGCGUGGUGUAGCGGUGAAAUGCGUAGAUAUUAGGAGGAACACCAGUGGCGAAGGCGGCUUACUGGACUGUAACUGACGUUGAGGCUCGAAAGCGUGGGGAGCAAACAGGAUUAGAUACCCGGGUAAA